GAUCCUGGCUCAGAUUGAACGCUGGCGGCAUGCUUUACACAUGCAAGUCGAACGGUAACAGGGGAGCUUGCUCCCGCUGACGAGUGGCGAACGGGUGAGUAAUGCAUCGGAACGUGCCGAAUAGUGGGGGAUAACGCACCGAAAGGUGUGCUAAUACCGCAUACGCCCUGAGGGGGAAAAUGGGGGACCGCAAGGCCUCACGCUAAUUGAGCGGCCGAUGUCGGAUUAGCUAGUUGGUGGGGUAAAGG
Molecule: ribosomal RNA, 248 nt
Filed under: uncultured bacterium
Lineage: Bacteria
Description: partial 16S ribosomal RNA
Rfam family: Bacterial small subunit ribosomal RNA
Source: RNAcentral